UCGCGUGAGGGAUGAAGGCCUUCGGGUUGUAAACCUCGGAAAUUAUCGAAGAAUGAGUGACAGUAGAUAAUGUAAGCCUCGGCUAACUACGUGCCAGCAGCCGCGGUAAUACGUAGGAGGCAAACGUUGCUCGGAUUUACUGGGCGUAAAGGGUGAGUAGGCGGACUUAUAAGUCUAAGGUGAAAGACCGAAGCUCAACUUCGGAAACGCCUCGGAUACUGUAAGUCUUGGAUAUUGUAGGGGAUGAUGGAAUUCUCGGUGUAGCGGUGGAAUGCGCAGAUAUCGAGAGGAACACCUAUAGCGAAGGCAGUCAUCUGGGCAUUUAUCGACGCUGAAUCACGAAAGCUAGGGGAGCAAACAGGCUUAGAUACCCUGGUAGUCCUAGCCGUAAACGUUGUACACUAGGUGCUUCUAUUUAAAUAGGAGUGCCGUAGCUAACGUCUUAAGUGUACCGCCUGAGGAGUAUGCCCGCAAGGGUGAAACUCAAAGAAAUUGACGGGUCCCCGCACAAGUGGUGGAGCAUGUGGUUUAAUUCGAUGAUACGCGAAAAACCUUACCUGGGUUUGAAUUGUAAGAUGAAUGAUUUAGAGAUAAGUCAGACCGCAAGGACGUUUUACAUAGGUGCUGCAUGGCUGUCGUCAGCUCGUGUCGUGAGAUGUUGGGUUAAGUCCCGCAACGAGCGCAACCCUCACCCUUUGUUGCUACCGAGUAAUGUCGGGCACUCUUAGGGGACUGCCUACGUUCAAGUAGGAGGAAGGUGGGGAUGAUGUCAAGUCCUCAUGGCCCUUAUGUCCAGGGCUACACACGUGCUACAAUGGCAAGUACAAAGAGAAGCAAGACCGCGAGGUGGAGCAAAACUCAAAAAAGUUGCCUCAGUUCGGAUUGGAGUCUGAAACUCGACUCCAUGAAGUUGGAAUCACUAGUAAUCGUAGAUCAGAACGCUACGGUGAAUACGUUCCCGGGGAUUGUACACACCGCCCGUC
RNAcentral lists this ribosomal RNA (983 nucleotides) under Brachyspira hyodysenteriae. RNAcentral describes it as "bacterial SSU rRNA". It matches the Rfam family "Bacterial small subunit ribosomal RNA", at positions 397 to 1398 of the family's 1533-position model. The record is from RNAcentral. Lineage: Bacteria; Pseudomonadati; Spirochaetota; Spirochaetia; Brachyspirales; Brachyspiraceae.